RNA transcript from Esox lucius (northern pike), 2874 nucleotides. It is a transcript of the gene named potassium voltage-gated channel subfamily A member 2, with no coding region annotated. The record is from RefSeq and is a predicted model, not a curated record. The transcript is spliced from 3 exons. NCBI's taxonomy places the organism in Eukaryota, Metazoa, Chordata, Actinopteri, Esociformes, Esocidae.
UGUGUCAACGAGCGCUGACGAUGAGGAAAGGGAAGGGACGACGCGUAGCCUGAGCCUGGCUCUCCAAGGGUGUAUGGGGGUUUGGCUUGGGAAGGCGCGGUGCACUCUGCCCUCUCCUUAUCACCUAUAUGGAUGACCAUUUCAACCUCAUCGACUCACCCUGCUCAGUGAGACACAGAGGCAACAAAGCUGAGAAGCACGGUUACUCAGACACAGAAAAGGGCGUCAUGACAGUUGAGAAUAUGUUAGAGGAGUCUGGGGCGCUUUCGAGCCACCUGCCCGUAGAUCGAUAUGAGCAAGAGCGAGGCCGCGAGUGCUGCGAGAGAGUGGUUAUCAACAUUUCAGGUUUACGCUUCGAAACUCAACUGAAAACUUUCAAUCAGUUCCCCAAAACGUUGCUCGGAGACCCCAGAAAAAGAAUGCGUUUUUUUGACCCACUGAGGAACGAGUAUUUCUUCGACCGAAACCGACCCAGCUUUGAUGCCAUUCUCUAUUAUUACCAGUCAGGGGGGCGCAUAAGGAGACCUGUUAACGUUCCUAUUGACAUAUUUUCUGAGGAGAUCAACUUUUAUCAACUCGGGGAAGAGGCUAUGGAAAAAUUCAGAGAGGACGAAGGAUUCAUUAAAGAAGAGGAACGUAUUUUACCCAAUAAUGAAUUCCAAAAGCAGGUUUGGCUUUUGUUUGAGUACCCUGAAAGCUCAGGGCCAGCUAGGGGGAUUGCAAUAGUCUCUGUGCUGGUCAUUUUAAUCUCCAUUGUAAUAUUCUGUUUGGAGACGUUGCCUGAAUUUCGGGAUGACAGGGACCCUGUCACUGUGGCAUUUACUGUCAACGGGACGGCAUCUUACAGCGAAAAUCCAUUUACCGACCCUUUCUUUGUAAUAGAGACACUUUGUAUAAUAUGGUUUUCUUUUGAGUUGCUGGUUAGGUUCUUCGCUUGCCCCAGCAAAUCCACGUUCUCAAGAAACAUAAUGAACAUUAUCGAUAUUGUCGCCAUAUUUCCAUAUUUUAUCACUUUGGGGACAGAACUUGCAGAGAAGCAGGGUAACGGCCAACAAGCCAUGUCCCUGGCCAUUCUCAGAGUGAUAAGGCUCGUGAGAGUGUUUCGCAUCUUCAAGCUCUCCAGGCAUUCUAAGGGGCUACAGAUUUUAGGGCAGACACUAAAGGCCAGCAUGAGGGAGCUUGGGCUAUUGAUAUUUUUCCUUUUUAUUGGAGUUAUCCUUUUCUCCAGUGCUGUUUACUUUGCUGAGGCAGAUGACCCGUCAUCCAGUUUUACAAGCAUCCCAGAUGCGUUCUGGUGGGCUGUGGUCACCAUGACUACGGUUGGAUAUGGAGACAUGCAUCCAGUGACCAUUGGUGGCAAAAUUGUCGGGUCAUUGUGUGCUAUUGCCGGAGUGUUGACAAUUGCUCUCCCUGUACCCGUUAUUGUCUCCAACUUUAAUUACUUUUACCAUAGGGAAACGGAUGGAGAAGAGCACGCACAGUACUUGCAUGUCAGCAGCUGCGAGCACAUACCAUCAGCCACAGACGAGCUGAAAAGGACUCGUAGCACGUCAUCUCUUAGCAAGUCGGAAUAUAUGGUUAUAGAGGAGGGAAUAAACCGUGGGUAUAAACAGCCCAACUUCACCAAUGAGAAUAACCAAAACUGCGUGAACAUCAAAAAGAUAUUCACGGAUGUGUAAAUGCUUUAAUUUUUUAUGGAGCAUGAUGCCGAAGAUAAUACAGUUAGGCUACUGUUUUUUCUAUGAUAGCUAUCGUGAUGUGACGGUGCAUAGCCCAUCUGUCAGGUGGAGUGUGCACAACUAUAUUGUGCCACAAAGAUUGCCAACCGUACCGUGAUUGUACGAUUCGUCCUUGAGUCAAAACAUGAUAUUCGAUAGUUCGGUAGAUUGUAGGCCUAUACUGUAUGUGUUGCAUAUUUACCCUCAAAUUGAGUUGUGUUGUGUGAGGGGGGAAGUUCGCUUAUCAGUGUUCAGUCUUGUCAUGAAUAGCGGCAAUAUAAUCUAAUGUCUGUAUAAUCUCUGUUAAAUCGGACACUGCUACACAGAUACUUCUAAAGGAAUGGUACACAGACUAUACUUCAAUUUAAUGGAACGUUACACAGACUAAAUUGCCAACCUAAAGGAAAUUCCGUGGACAUAUCAUACAUAGCCUGUGGUCUACACUGAGAGCAGACUGAGAAUUGUUCAGUUUUCGUCACUACUGUUCGGAUACAAACGGGCAAAUUUUUCACAAUGUUAGCGUAGCCUAUACCAAAUUAAGCAAGAACAUGAAAGGAUUCAGAUUCGGACAUGUUUUUUAUAAAAUAAUUCGGACUUAGUGUGACUUUACUCAUUACAUGGGCUGAACAACUUUAUAUAGCCUUAGUUGUAUCCUGACCCAUGGUAAACGAUGUAUCAAAUUCAAAUUCCAGGAUUCUGGAGGAUUUAUAUAUCUAUAAAACAUGACUUCAAGAAAAGCUCCAGCAUAUGGGAUAGUGUGAGCACAACGACUUAGACAUUGACACAUGGUGCGCGUGGAUAGAAGAAUGAUGAACAGCAAGUCCCGGCCCCUCGAUCCUACUGAGCCCGCCUUUUGAUGCAGUCUCCAUGACGACUACAGUUUCCUGGGUAACCCCCGUUAAUGUUACCAUGGUAUCACUUUGCCUUUCCAGAUGGAUCACCAGCCUGCCUUUAAAGAAAGAGCCGUGAGCCCUCUUAUGGACUUAACAUGAUAAAUAGGUUAGGUUGUCUGAGAACACGUUGUCAUUUACAACAAGUACCAGAGGAAGUUACAGCGGAGGAGAGGAAUUAAUGAGAUGGAUAUUUUCAAUUGUCCGGAUCAGAUUAUUCCAGUCUUAACAAGCUAUCAAUCAUCACCCAACCAACACUGCAGAGG